RNAcentral lists this long non-coding RNA (4629 nucleotides) under Canis lupus familiaris (dog). RNAcentral describes it as "lncRNA (ENSCAFG00845001511.1)". Lineage: Eukaryota; Metazoa; Chordata; Mammalia; Carnivora; Canidae. The record is from RNAcentral.
UUUUUUUUUUUUUUCCCUGGUCGUAACUCCUUGAUGGAACUCAAAUUAAGCCUGUCCUGUGUGACUUCCCUGAGACAGGACUCUGGAUGCUUGUCUCAUGUCCUCUGGCCUUCCUCAGUCCUUGUAUCUCAUCCCUUGGCUGUGUUUGCUUUCUCUCUUUUUGCUAUAAUAAGUCAUAGCUAUUGAGUCUGAUAAAAUGUCAAGUCCUAUGAGUCUUCCUAGUAAAUCACUGCAACUGGGGAUGAUCUUGAGGAUUCCUGACACAAGCAUUCACUGGGAUUUCUAAAAAUUUACUAAUAUGGCCAUACAGGCCUGUGCAGAUUCUCUUUGAGGUCAACAGGUCAUGUACUGUGCCAACUAUACAAACAGCUUUGUGUGAACAGUCUGUGAGAGACCCAAACAUUACGAUAAAAUAAAAAACACCCUGUGCUGUGUCACCAUCGUUAAGUCACACAUACUGAAUCUACAAGGGGAGGGGGGGCAGAGGUAAAAUGAACACCACAGUGAGACAAUGGCUAGAAGUGGGGAUGAUCAAAAAUGGGUGCAAAGUGUCCGACUUGGGCAACAAGGCAGAAGACGGUGACAUUCACUGAGAUUUUGAGCACCUCAAACAACACUAAAAACCAAAUGCAUGCCUUAGCUUCUCUCUACCUCACUGCCACCUCAAGCCCUCCUCUGUACUUUCUGCACAGUUGUAACAGAUUAUGCAGCUGUUAAAAGAGUUUGAUUUAUCCAACGUAUAGGGAUAGUCAAGAUAUACUGGCAAAUGAGAAAAAUAAUUUGCAGACAAAUGACAGCACUCUAUUCUAUUUUGAAGGAGUGCAUAGACCUGCCCUGGGAGAGGCAGUAAAGUGAUAAGGACAUGGAUUCUGCAGCCUGUCUACCUGACCUCCAAUCCCAAAUCCCACACUUCCUAAUCAACUAUGAAACAUUCGACACACGCUUUUCACUUCUUUGCGCCUUAGUUUUCUGAUCUGUAAGAUAGGGAUAACAUAAUCUGCCACAUAGAAUUAUCACAAAAAUUAAAAGAAUUAAUGUAUAUAAAGGUGUAGAGCAUUCAAAACAAUGAGGGAAACAUAAUAACAUACCAUAUCUGCUUGCUCCCAUGAUUAUUAGGAGUGCAUCCUCAAGGUGAUGACUGUGACCACAUGACACAUGCCUACAGGCUCAGUAUGUAAGAAUACUAACAAGGCGUGGAAGGAUGACCAGAGAGAAACAGUCAACCUGGAGACAAGGAUUUGGGGAACUCUGUAUUUCACUGAGCAUAAAAUGCCUCAAGGAGGGAAUUAACUCAGUCAUGGAACACCUUACAAGUGAGAGAGCAAGGGUGACAGAUUCUGAGCAGCACAACUGUUUAGCAAUAGAUGGAAGACGGUGCAGACCCUCUGAAGUAGGGCAGGAGCUCACAGAAACCAGGAAAGUCUCUCAAGUCAAAGUGGUGGGCAGCAGUAAAAAGGUCCAAUCAGAGUGUGUGUGUUGGGUGGAGGGGAGUGGGGGGGACAAGAGGGAACUUUGUGAGACUUGCUUAAGUCCAGUGACAGUGGUGGAGACCAUGGUUUAGUCGUCAGUGGGGUGAAGGGACAUGAGAAGGUGGGGACAGACAGUGGACAGAACAGUUACACAGGGUGUGUCUAGGAGAGAGAAGGGCAGAGCUCACUGGGCAUGUGGGGCAGAAAGCACCUGGGGUGACACUAGAGACCAGUACACAAGUAUAGAUUAAGAGGAUAGAAGAGGAUUAAGAAGGAAAAGUUAAAGACCAAGCAGUGAGGUUAUAAAAUAGGUCCUAAAAAAAUCAGAGAUUGGAGAUAUGUGUCCAACGGCAACGAGCAAGAGUGACCCUUGAAGACCUCCUCUGGGACUGUAACAAGGCUUAGAGACCUGGGGAAUUUUACACACAAUUUCCCAUGGAGACUAAAACCCUGAAUAAUCUGCAGUUUUCAGUUUUAAGAUCAGUUUUAGAAAUAUUUGUGGAUAACAGGAUCUUCAUUUCUCCAGAUAUGUUAGGACUUCUAUUCCAACAUCAAGAUAAACCACUAGAGAAUCACAACUUUGGACUACACAGUAUAGCCUGUUUUUUAAGAGUCCUUCUUUGGAAUUAUAUACUAGAUACUAGACAAGGAAAUAGAAAAUGUAAAAAAGAAUUAAGUAGAAAUUAAACUGAGAAAAAAACUGGGGCGCCUCAAUCAGUUAAGUGUCUGCCUUUGGUUCAGAUUAUGAUCCCAGAGUCCUGAGAUCGGGCCCCAUGUUGGGCUCCUUGCUCAGGAAGAGCAUCUACUUCUCCUUCUGCCCUGCCCCUCCCCUCACUCAUGUGCUUGCACUCUCUCAAAUUAAAAAAAAACAAAACAAAAAACAAAACAAAAAAAAACCCUAAAAAAACCUUACUAGAAAGCCAAAAGCACAACACAUAAAACUGAUGAAAUCUAUAGAUAAAAACACCGUAAAAGUCCUUGACAGAAAGGAUGCACUACAGACAGGGUAACAAUGGUGAAUAGCAGUAGAUUUCUCAUCUGAAACCAGGAGGACAGAGGGAGGUAACAUGUUUCUCUUCUACUAUAAGAACUGUAAACCCCAAGUCUUUUAUCCCACAAAAAACAUCCUUCAGGGAUGAAAGGGACAUAGAAACCUUUUUAGAUAAAGGAAAACAAAGUCCUUUGUCAACAGCAGACCUACCUCAGAAGAAAGGGUACAGGAAAUUUGCAGGGAAAUGUUAACAGAAGGCCUGGGUCUUCAGGAAGGGAGAAAGAACGGAAUGGUUAAUAAUAGAGGUAAACAGACCAUACACUUCAUGAAUUUUGUAGAAAAUCUUUUGACAGGUGGGGCACAAAUUAUAACAUCCAACAUAGUGCUCCAUGUAUAAAGAGAAAAUACUUAGAAUAAUUAAAAAUGGAAAAUGUUAAGGAAUCUAAUGGAAUUAAGGUUUCUAUACAUCAAAGUGCUAAAAUGCUGAUAUUAGACUGUGAUAAGUUAUGUAUAAUACUUAGAAUAUAAAAAUUAAGACAACACUCAAAAAUGUUAUAGAUACAUCAAAUGGAAAUCUAAAAAAUGCUGAAGUAACCUACAGGAGAGCAAAAUAACAAACACAAAACAGAAAAGCAAAAUAACAAAAACAACCAGAAAACAAGACGUACAAUAUAAAGGGAACACAAACAAAAAACAAAUUUCAUGUAACUUACCAAUUAAAAGAUAGAAGAAUGGAUUAAAAAGUAAAGUAUGACCCAACUAUAUGCUGUUAUAAGAAACUACUUCAAAUAUAAUGAUACAGAUAAAGUUGAAAAUUAUAAAGAUAUAAACCAUGCAAAAUAUUAAUCAAAACAUGCAGUAGGGACCAUAUUAAUCACUCAAAGUAUGCUUCAAAGGCAAGAAAAUGAACAGGUACAAAAAGGAUAUUACUUAAUGAAAGGGUUAACAUACCAAUAUUAAAUGUGAACCAUUUAGUGCACCAAACAACAGAGCUUUAAAAUACCCGAAACAGGGAUCCCUGGGUGGCUCGGUGGUUUAGUGCCUGCCUUUGGCCCAGGGCGCGAUCCUGGAGACCCAGGAUCAAGUCCCGCAUCAGGCUCCCAGCAUGGAGCCUGCAUCUCCCUCUGCCUGUGUCUCUGCCUCUCUCUCUCUAUCAUGAAUAAAUAAAAUCUUAAAAAAAAAUAAAAUAAAAUACCCGAAAUAGAAAAUGAUAGAAUUCAAAAGAUGAACAGUUAUACUUCAGGACAGCUAUACAUCAGAACUUCAUCAUCCCUCUCUUUGGAAUUGACAAAAAUACUAAACAGUUUAGGUCAGUAAGGUUAUAGAAAAUUUGACUACUACCAAGAGGACUGUCCAGACUGUGAAGGCUGAGAAACUGGGGCCGUUGGGUUUAAUAUUAUACUUUGUCAGCCAUCUCAGACCAAGAACUGAACACCAUCCCUGUUACAGGAAGAAACCACUCCCCCACUCUAGACAAGCCACCGGCUCAUAUAGGAAUGUGGAACACCCAACCAUCAAAGAAUAUAAACCCCGCCCUUUGCCCACCAAACUUGCGUACCAAUUCUGACCAGAAUAACAGGCUAGUUCAAACGGACCUUAGAGGGUGAAUCGUAAUUCAAUUGGUCACCUGCUUGUGGACCGACAUGACCAUGUAACUUUCUGUAUGUUAUAAUCCUCAUUGGCCACUGGCCCCUAUAAAACUGCUAUACCUCUUAACCUCGGGUCCAAGCCCCUGGUCUGUUGUGUCGGGUAUACUUGGACCCAAGCUCGAGCUUGUAAAUAAACCCUCGUGCGUUUGCAUCGGUGUCGGCUCCUUGGUGGUUUCUCCACAAUCUUGGGCACAACACAGACAUUUACAGAAACUCCACUCAAUGACAGCAGAACACACAUUCUUUUAGGAGGUCUUUUAGGAUAUUCAAUAAAUUAGGCUAUAUCUUAGGUCAUAAAUACUUUAACAAAUUUAAACAUACCAAACAUAAAAUAAACUAGAAAUCAAAAGAUAAGGAAAAUACUCCAGAACACUAGAAAACUAAACAAUAAUCUAUGAACCCAUUAGAGUUUCUAAAGAAAUCAAGAAUCAUUAGAGCUGAAUAAAAUGUAAUGAAAAUUUGCAGGAUGAAGUCACAAUGCUGUGAGGAAACAUUAUUGUACUAAAUGCUUACUUUAGAA